This 369-nucleotide ribosomal RNA is filed under the name uncultured soil bacterium. RNAcentral's name for it is "bacterial SSU rRNA". It matches the Rfam family "Bacterial small subunit ribosomal RNA", at positions 26 to 405 of the family's 1533-position model. The record is from RNAcentral.
AGAUUGAACGCUGGCGGCAUGCCUAACACAUGCAAGUCGAACGGGAGUAGCAAUACUCUAGUGGCGGACGGGUGAGGAAUACGUAGGAAUUUGCCCUUAAGUGGGGGAUAACCCGGGGAAACCCGGAUUAAUACCGCAUGACCUCGAAAGAGCAAAGUGGGGGAUCGCAAGACCUCACGCUUUUGGAGAAGCCUACGUCGGAUUAGCUAGUUGGUGAGGUAAUGGCUCACCAAGGCGACGAUCCGUAACUGGUCUGAGAGGAUGAUCAGUCACACCGGAACUGAGACACGGUCCGGACUCCUACGGGAGGCAGCAGGUGGGGAAUAUUGGACAAGUGGGCGCAAGCCUGAUCCAGCAAUGCCGCGUGUG